Molecule: long non-coding RNA, 350 nt
Organism: Rhododendron vialii
Lineage: Eukaryota; Viridiplantae; Streptophyta; Magnoliopsida; Ericales; Ericaceae
Exons: 3
Source: RefSeq, a predicted model, not a curated record
CUCCAUCUCUACACCGAAUCGUCAACUUCGGCCUUUUCCUCUCUGUGCGUGGAAACAACUACCAGUCGUCGUAUAGCUUCCAUUGCUCCAUCAAGAAUAAUGUUGGUGGUACAAGUUUAUCUCCUACUAUCUUAAAUGCGUCUACCAAUCAGGCUUUGCAUAAGGAUUUGAUGAUGGAGGCCACAUACACAUCCUCGUUUUGAUAUUUUCGGGAUGAAUUUUGAGAAGGACAACAAAAGCUUGAUUUUAAUUGAGAUUGUUAUGUGGAUUAUGAGAUUUGAUUCAAUGAAUCCUCCCUUUUAGAACUUUGGAAUCGUAUUUUGUUAUAUUUAAUUGGGAGUGGAAUCCAA